RNAcentral lists this ribosomal RNA (468 nucleotides) under uncultured bacterium. Its description in RNAcentral is "partial 16S ribosomal RNA". It matches the Rfam family "Bacterial small subunit ribosomal RNA", at positions 28 to 507 of the family's 1533-position model. The record is from RNAcentral.
GACGAACGCUGGCGGCGUGCUUAACACAUGCAAGUCGAACGGAAAGGCCCUGCUUUUGUGGGGUGCUCGAGUGGCGAACGGGUGAGUAACACGUGAGUAACCUGCCCUUGACUUUGGGAUAACUUCAGGAAACUGGGGCUAAUACCGGAUAGGAGCUCCUGCUGCAUGGUGGGGGGUGGAAAGUUUCGGCGGUUGGGGAUGGACUCGCGGCUUAUCAGCUUGUUGGUGGGGUAGUGGCUUACCAAGGCUUUGACGGGUAGCCGGCCUGAGAGGGUGACCGGCCACCUUGGGACUGAGAUACGGCCCAGACUCCUACGGGAGGCAGCAGUGGGGAAUAUUGCACAAUGGGCGGAAGCCUGAUGCAGCAACGCCGCGUGCGGGAUGACGGCCUUCGGGUUGUAAACCGCUUUCGCCUGUGACGAAGCGUGAGUGACGGUAAUGGGUAAAGAAGCACCGGCUAACUACGUG